AGCGAACGCUGGCGGCAGGCCUAACACAUGCAAGUCGAACGAACCUUUCGGGGUUAGUGGCGGACGGGUGAGUAACACGUGGGAACGUGCCUUUAGGUUCGGAAUAACUCAGGUAAACUUGUGCUAAUACCGAAUGUGCCCUUCGGGGGAAAGAUUUAUCGCCUUUAGAGCGGCCCGCGUCUGUUUAGCUAGUUGGUUGAGGUAAUGGCUCACCAAGGCGACGAUCAGUAGCUGGUCUGAGAGGAUGAUCAGCCACAUUGGGACUGAGACACGGCCCAAACUCCUACGGGAGGCAGCAGUGGGGAAUCUUGCGCAAUGGGCGAAAGCCUGACGCAGCCAUGCCGCGUGAAUGAUGAAGGUCUUAGGAUAGUAAAAUUCUUUCACCGGGGACGAUAAUGACGGUACCCGGAGAAGAAGCCCCGGCUAACUUCGUG
Molecule: ribosomal RNA, 434 nt
Filed under: uncultured bacterium
Lineage: Bacteria
Description: partial 16S ribosomal RNA
Rfam family: Bacterial small subunit ribosomal RNA
Source: RNAcentral